CCAUCCAUCCUGGCAGUGUUCCUUUCUGUUGAACUUGGCCUGGUUUGCCUCAUCUUGGUUUAUAUGUGGAAAUGAAAGGGGUGUGGCAGCUUCAUCUCCAGAUUCCCCAACUAGAGCCGUUCUAAGCAGGGGGAAAGACUGCACCUUUGUCAUUAUAUAUCUUUGUUUUCUUUUUUCCUCCUGGAAAGCGUGCUUUUAUCCCUGCCUCCAGGGGAAAUCUGUUGCUUAUCUCAAUUUCUCUCUUUCCUAAUGGAAUUUCAGCCCUUGCCCUACAGGUGGAUUGUCACUAUACCUCUCUUCAUUUGCUUUGCCUGCAGUAGUAGGAUCCCUUCCCCCAGGGUAGCCUCCUUCUUGCUUUAUAUUCUGGGAAUAUCUGGGAGUUUCUCCUCACAACUCUACCUCCCUACUGAGUCAUUUAUUUCUUAUCAUAGAUGCAAUUUGUUUUGUGUGUAGAUUGAUAUGGGAAGAAUGUUUUUAUUCAAACUGUAAAUCUACGGGAGAUCAGUGAGACAUAUGAAAGGACAAAAUUAAAUUCCCUGCUAGAGAAACCUUUAUCUGAACUCCUUUUAGCACGUUUUCUCUGCAGGGAGAAAAUCUAAUCAACACCUCUGGGUGCACCCAGUCAUGUGGGUGUAUCUUCUCUGUUCUACUCAGCUUUGACCAGAGUUUUUCAAACCAGUUUCAGCUUCAGUGGUCUUGGUCUCUUGGUGCUGUCAAAUCUUCACUUUCCAGCUCCUGGAAAGCCUAAUAAUGGACACUUUUUCUGAUUCUACUUUAUAAAGCAAUGGCUUUAUAAGCCAUGGCUGCAGUUAUCACAAAGACUUUCCUGUAUCAGCAAUAGCUGCCCACAAGUCAAUCUCUCUGUUAAAAUUUGGUCUGCAGACCAGGAGUUGUUAAUAAUGCCCAAAGAGGCUUCUGUCUAAAGGGAGAAUUGCCUCCAUCUGGUUUCUGGAUUUGAAACCCUUGUGUAGAUGGUGAAAUAGUUUUGCAAGCAUCGACCUUUUGCUGGGAAUCCCUGGGCAUGGGAUUCUUGUCUACCUUUCUUUUGUCUAUUGCUGGAAGUAAUUUCUACCACAGACUGUUCUGCCCUGCUUUACAAUACCUACAGUACUAUUUUAAGGACAUUACUUUAAGGCAUCUAUUAGUGGAAAGGUUUGAUCUUAAAACCAAAAAAAGUUUAUUAGUAGAUAAGAACUUCUUAGGUAUUACCAACCCCUGAUACUGGUUCAGAUGCUUUGAACAGAUUUUUAGACACACUGUUGAUUUGAUGAGAAAUGUGAAACAUGUCAAUGCAGGCUUCCUACUCUUUUCAUUUUAACUUGAUUAAUUUUGAUCUAUUAUAGACCUCUACUUGUAAUCUUUUUAUGAAACUGAGGCUUCUGGUGUCUUUAUAUUGUCAUCAACAGCAGAAGUGAAUUGCUCUGUCCUGUGGUGGGGGAGAUUGAUGACAGAGAUCUCUGAUGUUUCAGAGUAAAGCCUUUGUAAUUAAGAGCCAGUGUGAGGCUGAGGAGAUCCCUGUCCUUGCCCAGUCUCUGUGCUGUCUCAGGGGUUUAGGUAGUUCCUAGAAUUUGUCUGUACCUCAGUUUCCAUUUGUGAAACAGAAAUGCUCUCAGCAGACUGUCUGCCUGUUUGUCAGAAAGUGUUACUGUCACAGCUUUGGAAGAGAGGUCAGACUUGUGCUGAGGCUGGUAAGCACAGGGAGGACUGGCAGCAAGAUCCUAGAAAGGCAGGGAGGAUCAGAAGCCAGAAAUGGUGCUGAAGUGAGGGUGACAGGCAGGAUUGCCUCCAUCCGUGUGCCUGUUCUUAGGUCACAGCAGAUGUCACUUCAGUCCUGCUUCACCCACUCAUAAGGGAAAAAGGGACAAAGCCAGGAGGCUCUUCCUCAACUUCCAUGGCUUCCUUUCUGGACAGAUACUUGAUAAACCAUCAAAAGUUAAUGAUCAAAAAGCUUAUCAGGGUAUUUUCAUCUAUAAAUUUAUAAGACAAAAGAGAAAUAAUAAAGCCAUUGGAUAAUUAGUAACUAGCCAGGGCCCGCCCGGUGCCACUGGGCUCAAACUGCCCCAAGACCUGUACGCAGACUCAGGAAGAUGAGAAGGAGACAAGGAUGAGGGGAAGAACAAGAGUGGGAGGCAGAGAGGAUCAGCCAAGGAGACAACAAAAUGGAUGGAAUAGCAGCAGAAACAAUAGUGAGGAGAGAAGAGAAAUAGGUAAAAACAAUCUGAAAGGUGUAAAGGAAGUAGAGAAAACUUAAAGAUGUGGAAGAGCUGGAAGUGCAGAAGAAAUGAGGCAUACUGGGCCAGGAAGAAGAGAGAAUUACUGGGAAUGUGUUCCCACCCAGGUCUGGUCUGUGCCCAGAGCACCACGUCCCCUCCCUGCAGGGCGUUAACAAAGCUCUCAUGGAUACUGACGACUUCGUGUGGCUAAAAACGAAUGAGAAUUCCGAGUCCAUGUAAACACAUUUAUUUGAAGAAAUGUUCAUGUGAACAUUAAUGUCAAGACAAAUUCAGCUUCUAUCGAUUUUUUUGGGUCAUACCCUUAAUAAAGAGUUGUGCUGGUUUUGCACC
This is a long non-coding RNA of Passer domesticus (house sparrow), 2564 nucleotides long. RefSeq lists it as uncharacterized. The transcript has 2 exons. The record is from RefSeq and is a predicted model, not a curated record. NCBI's taxonomy places the organism in Eukaryota, Metazoa, Chordata, Aves, Passeriformes, Passeridae.